GAUUGCCCUAGUAACGGCGAGUGAAGCGGCAAAAGCUCAAAUUUGAAAUCUGGCCUCGGCCCGAGUUGUAAUUUGUAGAGGAUGUUUCGGGCACCGCCCCGGCGUAAGUCCCUUGGAACAGGGCGUCAUAGAGGGUGAGAAUCCCGUCUGGCGUCGUGGUAGGGCCCAUGUGAAACUCCUUCGACGAGUCGAGUUGUUUGGGAAUGCAGCUCAAAAUGGGUGGUAAAUUUCAUCUAAAGCUAAAUACUGGCCAGAGACCGAUAGCGCACAAGUAGAGUGAUCGAAAGAUGAAAAGCACUUUGAAAAGAGAGUUAAACAGUAUGUGAAAUUGUUGAAAGGGAAGCGCUUACAACCAGACUUGAGCCCGUCGGUUCCCCCUCGCUUCUGCGUGGGCUACUCCGGCGGGUCCAGGCCAACAUCGGUUCGGGUGGCUGGUCAAAGGCCCCGGGAAUGUACCUCACCUUCGGGUUAGGCUUAUAGCCCGGGGUGUCAUGCGGCCUACCUGGACCGAGGAACGCGCUUCGGCUCGGAUGUUGGCGUAAUGGUUGUCAGCGACCCGUCUUGAAACACGGACCAAGGAGUCGAAGAGCUAUGCGAGUGUUUGGGUGUCAAACCCGUACGCGUAAUGAAAGUGAACGGAGGUAGGAAGCUUCGGCUGCACUAUCGACCGAUCCUGAUGUUCUCGGAUGGAUUUGAGUAAGAGCAUAACUCUCCGGACCCGAAAGAUGGUGAACUAUGCCUGAAUAGGGUGAAGCCAGAGGAAACUCUGGUGGAGGCUCGCAGCGGUUCUGACGUGCAAAUCGAUCGUCAAAUUUGGGUAUAGGGGCGAAAGACUAAUCGAACCAUCUGGUAGCUGGUUCCUGCCGAAGUUUCCCUCAGGAUAGCAGUAACGUUUUCAGUUUUAUGAGGUAAAGCGAAUGAUUAGAGGCCUUGGGGUUGAAACAACCUUAACCUAUUCUCAAACUUUAAAUAUGUAAGAAGUCCUUGUUACUUAGUUGAACGUGGACAUUUGAAUGUAUCGUUACUAGUGGGCCAUUUUUGGUAAGCAGAACUGGCGAUGCGGGAUGAACCGAACGUGAGGUUAAGGUGCCGGACUGCACGCUCAUCAGACACCACAAAAGGUGUCAAUGCAUCUAGACAGCCGGACGGUGGCCAUGGAAGUCGGAAUCCGCUUAGGAGUGUGUAACAACUCACCGGCCGAAUGCAUUGGCCCUGAAAAUGGAUGGCGCUUAAGCGUGCGACCUAUACCUCGCCGUCAGGGUUGACAUGAUGCCCUGACGAGUAGGCAGGCGUGGAGGUUUGUGACGAAGC
Molecule: ribosomal RNA, 1311 nt
Filed under: Chaetothyriales sp. TRN515
Lineage: Eukaryota; Fungi; Ascomycota; Eurotiomycetes; Chaetothyriales
Description: LSU rRNA
Rfam family: Eukaryotic large subunit ribosomal RNA
Source: RNAcentral